This 4878-nucleotide long non-coding RNA is filed under the name Callithrix jacchus (white-tufted-ear marmoset). RNAcentral describes it as "lncRNA (ENSCJAG00000082682.1)". The record is from RNAcentral. Lineage: Eukaryota; Metazoa; Chordata; Mammalia; Primates; Cebidae.
AUUUUUCUUCAUAUUAUCAGCGGAGGAAACAAGGCUUCUCUCUCGUGAAAGAAAAACAUGAGGUUGGAAUAUGUUAAGACCUUUACACAGUGUUAAAUUUGAGUAAGGUGUUUGCAUAAAAUCAUUUCCAUCACAUCCUGAUUAUGACUGGUUAUGUUUCAUUUUAUUAUUCCUUGUGUGUUUGGAAAGAGGUUCUGGUGAGAGAAUACAAAGGUAGUCUGUGUUGCAAAAGAAGCCCAAGGCUGUAGAUGGAAGAAUUGCAUAUGCAACUUUGCAAGAAACUUGGGGACAAGGAAAAUCUUGUCAGGUCAUGCAAGUGUUAUGCAAAAAAAGCUUUGGAAACACCCUCUACACAUGAUCGACCCCCAUGGGAAGCCAGUUUCAGGUGUCACUACCUCUGCUGCACAGAGGGCUUGCCUCUUUGUGGUUGUUCCCUCCAUGAAGAGACAGUACUGGUGAGAUGCAGGAGUCCCUGGGCUUGGAGAUAAAGGCAGGGCCCCUUGGUGGGUGGCCCAGGUCGAAGAGUGGCAGUCAGCUUAUGGUGCCGGGUAACGUUCUGGUAACACCCAAAGUGCCCGCUUCCUGGCCUGAAGCGCUCUCCUCCUCCACCCGACCGGAACCGAAGAGUGGCUGCAACGAGGUACUGAGGUCAGGACUGUCAGGGGCCUAUGCUGCUUGUGGCACGCAGCCUUUUUCCAGGCGCCGCCCCUGCCACCGUCUCCACCUUGUACCUGUGCGGCAGCAGCUGGACAGCGCCAACAUCGCGGCUCCCCAGCUGGGCAGACGAAAGCGCAUGCGCAAGCGGCCUGUCACAAGCGCCAGCGCUGAGCCCGGGCUCGCGUCACAGGAACAGCCACCGUUGCCUGGGGAACGAUCACAGUGGCUUCCCAAAGCAGCGGUCCUCUGUGGCAGUGCCUCAGCAUCGGGCAACGGACUCUUUCUCCGCGCGAUCAUCGCUGAGUCCUGCGAUUUUAGGAAUCCGGCAGGCCGAGCCAGGCAGAAGAAAGAUCUGUCGGGGCUUCAGGGAUGUCCACGGCGCUCCCCAGGAAUCACCGAGAUGCUGCAGACCUGCCCAAACAGUGUGAGGGUGCCUCUCGUUGAAAGCCCUCGUGACUGGGAUUUCCAGGUUCAAGACAGGUAAAUGAAUACCUUUAAGGGGACAAUGGAGAAGAAUGGUGCCUCCACAUUUCCAAGGUUUCUUUUUGCUUCUAUGCCUGUGAUACUCUGAAGAUCUCUAAGACGUUACUUCAUUUUGGCAUGGUGGUUCAAUGCUACUUGGAAAUUAGCUAACAUUCAAAAGGAAAGGCAGCAGAGAAAGUCAAGGUUAUUCUCUCAAAUGCCUGUAAGUUCUCUCUGGUUUUCUUAGCCUAUUCUCGAAGUCAAAACUUGGAUUCCUGUUUUUUGGCUGGAUAAUACAUGUUUUGAGAAAUUUUUUUCAGACAUACAAAACAGGCUUUCACAUCUGAAGCCAAUCGUGAUUUUUUUCUCUUGGUUAGUACCUUGGGUUCUUGUCUGAUCUGAAUUUUAGAAAUUUAAAAGAUUAUCAGCAUAAAUGUAAAUAUAAUAUUUUAAUUAUAAAUCCUGUAACAGAAUAAAUCAUGGUUGCUUUUUUUUAGGCAGUGCCUGUGUUAGACCUCUUCUGAGCCUGUAUCACAUAUUAUUUUUAGAAACAAUGUUAAUGCAGAACAUUUUUUCCAUUAUAAAAGAAGCUAAUAUUAAAAAUGCUUGUUAUAGAAUGUUCAUACUAUAUCGAGAAAGAUCCAUGAUGGCUGAUUGCUAACAUCUCAGGAUUGUAGCUCCCAGUGAACGUGCAGAGAACGAGAGGAUGCCACACUUUCAGAAGAAUUUUUGCCACUCAUGGGCCAGAAGAUUCCCAGCGGAGGAGCCCCAUGGGUCACCAGUGCAACUCUUGUGGCCGGUGUGGCAGUUUUGCAGGUACCUCAGCACGGCUGCUCUUGAUGCAGAAUAAACUGGACUGGUUUCCUUUCUGACCGAUGUUUGGAGCUCCAGGAAGGCAGAGUCACCUAAUAUGGACCCAUGAAUAAAGGGAGACAAGAGAUUCCCAGGCAGAAGGGCACCAUAAUUCUUAACGCUGCUGUUUUGGCCGGCGCAGUGGGUUGCUCAGAUUCUGGCCUGGGAAUCAAUCAAUUGGACAUCCACUCAGAAACCUAAUUAUAAAGGCAUUAAUUGCAAAGAUGAAAGAUGGAUAAAUUUAUAAUGAAGGGAAGAAACCAGUCUAAAAAGGCUGACAAUACCCAAAAUCGAAAUGCCUCUUUCUCUACAGGGAUUACAGUUUCUCUUCAGUAAUGGAACAAGACCUGAUGGAGAAAGACUGUGUUCCAUUAACAGAAGUAGGUUUCAGAAGGUGAAUGAUAAGAAACUUCUGGGAGUUAAAAAAACUUGUUCUAACCCAACGUAAAGAAACUAAGAACUUUGAAAAAAGGUUUGACGAAAUGCUAACAAGAAUAGACAAUAUAGAGAAAAAUAUAAAUGAAUUAACAGAGUUGAAAAACACAGCACGAGAACUUUGUGAAAUAUGCACAAGUUUUCAUAGCUGAAUUGAUCAAGCAGAAGAAAGGAUGUAAGAAGUCGAAGACAAACUUAAUGAUAUAAAACGAGAAGAGAAAAACAAAGAAAAAUGGAUUAAACAGGAAUGAGCAAAGUCUUCAAGAAAUAUGGGACAUGCGAAAAGUCCUAAUCUACAUUUGAUAGGUGUAUCUGAAUGUGAUGAAGAAAAUGAAUGCAAGCUGGAAAAUACUCUUCACGAUAUUAUCAAGGAAAACUUUCCCAACCUAGCAAGGCAGGACAAUAUUCAACUCCAGGUAAUACAGAGAACACCACAAAUAUAUUUCUCAAAAAAAAGCAACCCCAAGGCACAUAAUCCCUAGAUUCACCAGGGUUGAAAUGAAGGAGAAAAUACUAAGGGCAGCCAGAGAGAAAGGUCAGGUUACCCACAAAGGGAAGCCUAUCAGACUUACAGCAGAUCUCUCAGCGGAAACCCUCCAAGCCAGAAGAGAUUGGGGGCCAAUAUUCAACAUCCUUAAAGAAAAGAACUUUCAGCCCAGAAUUUCAUAUCCAGCCAAACUAAGCUGCACAACUGAAGAAAAAAUAAUUGUUUUUUAUGAAGAAGCAAGUACUCAGAGAUUUUAUUACCAGCAUUACACAUAGAAAGGAACAACCAGUAUUAGCCUUUGCAAAAAUAUACCAAAAAGUAAAGAGCAUUAACAUAAUGAAGAAUUUACAUCAACAAAUGGACAAAACAGCCAGCUAACAUCAAAUAGCGGUAAUCCUAUAUUUAAUUGAUAAAAUCCCUUAAUCAAAAGACACAGCCAAAACCCAAUGGUAUGCUGCAUUCUGACCCAUAUUGUAUGCAAGGAUACACAAAUACUCAAUGGAAUGGAGAAAGAUUUACCAACCAAAUAAAGAGCAAAUAUAAAUAAAUUAAUUAAAAGCAGGAGUUGCAAUUCUUGCCUCUGAUAAAAUAGAUUUUAAAGCAACAAAGAUAUAAUGGUAAAAGGAUGAAUGCAACAAGAAGAGCUAACAAUCCUAAAUAUACAGGAACACCCAGAUACAUAAGACCUAUAAAGAGGCUUAGACUCUCGAGACUCCCACACAAUAAUAGUGGGAGACUUCAACUCGAUAUUAGAUAGAUCAAUGAGACAGAAAGUUAAUAAGGAUAUUCACGACUUGAACUCAGAUUCGUAACAAGUAAAGUUCAUCAACAUUUAUAGAACUCUCCACUUUAAAUAUAUAAACUAUACAUUCUUAUCAGUAUCACAUCACACCUACUCAUAGGUUUAAAUAAAAUAUUGAUCGGCCAUUAUUAAGCACAAUUAUUGGCAUAAAAGAGGUUUUCAAUACCCAUUUUUAGAAUAAAACAACAUUCCUCUUCUCCCUCUUUUUCUUCCUCGGUCUUCCUCUCCUUGAUUUUUGUUUCUUUCUUUCUGUCUCUCCUUCUAUAAAAAAAUAAAUAAAGGAGAAUUGCAUUUAUGGAACAGAAACUUACAUUUACUAAGUGCCUAUUGCACACCAGGUUCCAAGCAAGGCAACUCUGCAAAUGAACUCUCUCCAUGUGUUCAGUGACUUAGCCAUUGUUAACUGGCACUUAUGGAUAAGUAAAUCAAGAACUUGGGGAAGUACAUCACCCUAGGUCCCCCACCCCACACACAGAAAAGAAUUUUUCUCUCAGCCUUUGGUAGGACAGCCUUACUACCUCUUAAUACUCUGGUGAAAGUGUAUUUUCUUUGCAAUUUAUUUUUGUCAGGGACACAAAUCUCUUUUUUCAUGUAGGUUUUCUUAGCUACAACCUGACUUUUGUGUUGAAGGAGCAAGAUUACCAAGACAGGCAUAAACCUCAUGACUGUCAUUUUCCAAUCAGAAAAAUGUUAUAAAUGGCUGAUCAUUUUAUGUUACUUCAACAUUUCUGAUAUAGGAAAAAAAGCAUGAGCUAUGUUCAAGACCCAGCCUUGUAAUUUAUCCUUGGGAUCUAAGGCAGCUAUUUAACCUCCCUGAAACUUAAUUUUUAUCAUCUGUAAAAUAAUACAAUCACUUAGGUCAUAAGACUUUUUUUAAACUUUCAUUUUAGGUUGAGGAAUAUAUGUGCAUAUUUGUUAUAGGUAAACUUGUCUCACAGGGGUUUGUUGUACAUAUUAUUUCAUUACCCAGGUACUAAGGCUAGUACCCAACAGUUAUUCUUUUUGAUCCUUAUAGGAUUAUUAUAAAUGUGAAACUAGGUAUCUAAACCACCUAGUAUGGUACUCAUACAUAUUAAGCGAUCAAUAAAUUUUAAUUCUCUGAACUCUCUCAUUUCUCUCUUUUGAGGCUUAUAUUUGGGGUAGAAAAAAAUCUGUAUUAUACGUACUAUCAUAUUCAUCCAUA